ACUUUCAACAACGGAUCUCUUGGUUCUCGCAUCGAUGAAGAACGCAGCGAAAUGCGAUAAGUAAUGUGAAUUGCAGAUUUUCGUGAAUCAUUGAAUCUUUGAACGCACAUUGCGCCCUCUGGUAUUCCGGAGGGCAUGCCUGUUUGAGCGUCAUUU
RNAcentral lists this ribosomal RNA (156 nucleotides) under uncultured fungus. RNAcentral's name for it is "5.8S ribosomal RNA". It matches the Rfam family "5.8S ribosomal RNA". From Rfam's summary of the family: 5.8S ribosomal RNA (5.8S rRNA) is a component of the large subunit of the eukaryotic ribosome. It is transcribed by RNA polymerase I as part of the 45S precursor that also contains 18S and 28S rRNA. Functionally, it is thought that 5.8S rRNA may be involved in ribosome translocation. The record is from RNAcentral. Lineage: Eukaryota; Fungi.